Non-coding RNA from Ameiurus melas (black bullhead), 74 nucleotides. Lineage: Eukaryota; Metazoa; Chordata; Actinopteri; Siluriformes; Ictaluridae. The record is from the annotation of a GenBank genome assembly.
GGUGGUGGUAGCCCAGUGGUUAACACAUCGGACCUCUGAUUGGAAGGUCAUGAUUUCAAACCCCAGCCUCACCA